UCUGAUUUCAGCUCCCUACUUGCCUAUAAAUACACUUCACUUUCUUCAGUUUUAAAUCACUUCCUUUUCUCUGCAUUCUGAGAAAACUGCUUCUUUCCUUCUCUUAUUUUUCCUUCUUCGAAAAUUAUUUUGUUGUUUCAUAUUUUGAACGGUUGUAAACCGUAGAAUUGAUAUUCGCAUAUCAAUUAGAGUGGUUCGAACUUUUCGACCAUACUUGGUGUUAUUCUGGCCGAUACUACAGUGCAGUAGUUUAUCGGUAUUUCCUUUGAAAAUGGCUGUUUUAUCCUGGGGACUUCGCGGUUGAUAUACUACAGUGCACUUCUUCGAGUAGUUCCGCGAAACGUCUUAAAGAAAGCGACCUAGUACGCGACUCAGCCAAUAAUUUGUUUCGUUGCCAAUUUUGAAAAUUCGUUUUUC
RNAcentral lists this long non-coding RNA (417 nucleotides) under Trifolium pratense (red clover). Its description in RNAcentral is "long non-coding RNA (TPRA_LNC007478)". The record is from RNAcentral. Lineage: Eukaryota; Viridiplantae; Streptophyta; Magnoliopsida; Fabales; Fabaceae.